GUAGCCGAGUGACGGUACUUUAUUAGAAAGCCACGGCUAACUACGUGCCAGCAGCCGCGGUAAUACGUAGGUGGCAAGCGUUAUCGGAAUUAUUGGGCGUAAAGAGGGAGCAGGCGGCAGCAAGGGUCUGUGGUGAAAGCCUGAAGCUUAACUUCAGUAAGCCAUAGAAACCAGGCAGCUAGAGUGCAGGAGAGGAUCGUGGAAUUCCAUGUGUAGCGGUGAAAUGCGUAGAUAUAUGGAGGAACACCAGUGGCGAAGGCGACGAUCUGGCCUGCAACUGACGCUCAGUCCCGAAAGCGUGGGGAGCAAAUAGGAUUAGAUACCCUAGUAGUCCACGCCGUAAACGAUGAGUACUAAGUGUUGGAUGUCAAAGUUCAGUGCUGCAGUUAACGCAAUAAGUACUCCGCCUGAGUAGUACGUUCGCAAGAAUGAAACUCAAAGGAAUUGACGGGGGCCCGCACAAGCGGUGGAGCAUGUGGUUUAAUUCGAAGCAACGCGAAGAACCUUACCAGGUCUUGACAUACUCAUAAAGGCUCCAGAGAUGGAGAGAUAGCUAUAUGAGAUACAGGUGGUGCAUGGUUGUCGUCAGCUCGUGUCGUGAGAUGUUGGGUUAAGUCCCGCAACGAGCGCAACCCUUAUCGUUAGUUACCAUCAUUAAGUUGGGGACUCUAGCGAGACUGCCAGUGACAAGCUGGAGGAAGGCGGGGAUGACGUCAAAUCAUCAUGCCCCUUAUGACCUGGGCUACACACGUGCUACAAUGGAUGGUGCAGAGGGAAGCGAAGCCGCGAGGUGAAGCAAAACCCAUAAAACCAUUUCA
This 818-nucleotide ribosomal RNA is filed under the name Thomasclavelia ramosa. RNAcentral describes it as "bacterial SSU rRNA". It matches the Rfam family "Bacterial small subunit ribosomal RNA", at positions 461 to 1289 of the family's 1533-position model. The record is from RNAcentral. Lineage: Bacteria; Bacillati; Bacillota; Erysipelotrichia; Erysipelotrichales; Coprobacillaceae.